CCACGCCGUAAACGAUGUCUACUUGGAGGUUGUGGCCUUGAGCCGUGGCUUUCGGAGCUAACGCGUUAAGUAGACCGCCUGGGGAGUACGGUCGCAAGAUUAAAACUCAAAUGAAUUGACGGGGGCCCGCACAAGCGGUGGAGCAUGUGGUUUAAUUCGAUGCAACGCGAAGAACCUUACCUACUCUUGACAUCCAGAGAACUUUCCAGAGAUGGAUUGGUGCCUUCGGGAACUCUGAGACAGGUGCUGCAUGGCUGUCGUCAGCUCGUGUUGUGAAAUGUUGGGUUAAGUCCCGCAACGAGCGCAACCCUUAUCCUUGUUUGCCAGCACUUCGGGUGGGAACUCCAGGGAGACUGCCGGUGAUAAACCGGAGGAAGGUGGGGACGACGUCAAGUCAUCAUGGCCCUUACGAGUAGGGCUACACACGUGCUACAAUGGCGCAUACAGAGGGCGGCCAACUUGCGAGAGUGAGCGAAUCCCAAAAAGUGCGUCGUAGUCCGGAUCGGAGUCUGCAACUCGACUCCGUGAAGUCGGAAUCGCUAGUAAUCGUGGAUCAGAAUGCCACGGUGAAUACGUUCCCGGGCCUUGUACACACCGCCCGUCACACCAUGGGAGUGGGCUGCAAAAGAAGUAGGUAGUUUAACCUUCGGGAGGACGCUUACCACUUUGUGGUUCAUGACUGGGGUGAAGUCGUAACAAGGUAGCGCUAGGGGAACCUGGCGCUG
RNAcentral lists this ribosomal RNA (725 nucleotides) under Vibrio harveyi. RNAcentral's name for it is "bacterial SSU rRNA". It matches the Rfam family "Bacterial small subunit ribosomal RNA", at positions 795 to 1520 of the family's 1533-position model. The record is from RNAcentral. Lineage: Bacteria; Pseudomonadati; Pseudomonadota; Gammaproteobacteria; Vibrionales; Vibrionaceae.